AUGAAACCUCGUCUUGAGCUAAGCAAGAAGGAGAUGGUGAAACUACUCGGCUACAGUGGUAGUGACAAGAAAGGAAUUGUUGGCGACUGUAAGUGUACCUCGGGCGUGGCAUAUUUUCUUGGUGAAAGCGUAGUAAGCUGGCUAUCACGAAGACAGAAAGUGGUGACAUCGACUUCAAGUAAAGCAGAGUGUCAAGGUGUGUGGCUAGGAUGGCUACACGGUGAUCUCAUGGAUCGAGAUCCGGAACCAGUGGCGCUCAACGUUGACAAUGAGUUUAUAACUUUUUUACCCAAGAAUCCAGUGCGGCAUGAUAGGAGCAAGCACAUUGAUACGAUGUAUCACUAG
RNAcentral lists this ribosomal RNA (345 nucleotides) under Triticum aestivum (bread wheat). Its description in RNAcentral is "partial small subunit ribosomal RNA". Lineage: Eukaryota; Viridiplantae; Streptophyta; Magnoliopsida; Poales; Poaceae. The record is from RNAcentral.